RNAcentral lists this ribosomal RNA (254 nucleotides) under uncultured bacterium. Its description in RNAcentral is "partial 16S ribosomal RNA". It matches the Rfam family "Bacterial small subunit ribosomal RNA", at positions 524 to 776 of the family's 1533-position model. The record is from RNAcentral.
UACGAAGGGUGCAAGCGUUUGUUCGGAAUCAUUGGGCGUAAAGCGCGCGUAGGCGGCCCUGUAAGUCCGUUGUGAAAGUCAAAGGCUCAACCUUUGAAAGCCGAUGGAUACUGCAGGGCUAGAGUCCGGAAGAGGCGAGUGGAAUUCCUGGUGUAGCGGUGGAAUGCGCAGAUAUCAGGAGGAACACCAAUAGCGAAGGCAGCUCGCUGGGACGGUACUGACGCUAAGGCGCGAAAGCGUGGGGAGCGAACAGG